CCUGGGGAGGGGAGAGCACAGGGCUGUGAGAAGAGUCUGAUGAGACACCCCCAGCUCCCUUCCCUGCUGGGGAGAGCAAGGCAGCUGAAGGCGCAGAGGGGAGAAAUGGGAAGGCAAAGGCCCCAGGUCCCUUCCCUCUGGGGUGGCAAGAGACAUAGCUCCCUAAGGAAGAUUUUCUGUUGGCUUUGGGGAAUAAUCGCUGUACUAGGAGAGACUUCGCAAGCAGAGGGAGCCAGCAGAGCCUGGCUGGCUGUAGGAUGCAUACAGGCUGCCACUUCAGACAGGCUUGGAUGCCUCUCAUUGAUUAGCCCUUCUGGGAAUGGAUAUCCCAGUUGGGCUAUUCCCGUGUUACUCCCUGUGAGGGAGGUCUACCCAGGCUUGUUAGUGCCUAAGAUACAGCAACCAGAAGCAGGGAGCUGCUUCCAGAGAUAUUCCUCAUACUGCUCUGUUCCUCCUUUCCUCUCUCAGGCCCCUGCGGCUGGCUAAGCAAGCUAAAAAACACUUUUUAAUAAUUUACUUACUCCCCAUCUUACUCUUUGCCUCAAAAAGCUAUGCACCCAGAGGUGUGUCUGAGAUUCAGAGGGGCUACAGAAGCAUCCUGGAGAGCCUGACAGUGCUGGAAGCGCCUACACUGAGGGCAGUUGCAUGGAAAGGAACAGUAUUACAUACAACUUACUUGUUAUUCUUGGUCACUAUGGAGUUAAAGGAUGAAGCACGAGAGGCCUGUGACAUUAAAGGGAAUGGCAUCACUGAGUGGCUGAAAAGACAAACCAGGGUCUAGGAACUAGAUCCUCACCUGGCAACUCCUCCACUGUCAGAUCUGCAGAAGAAACACAGAGAUGGCCCCAUGAAGAAAGCAGCAGACAUACCACAGAAAGUGCUCAGCUCCAUGGCUUAAGAGCCCUUUGGCCUUCCUUCCUCCAACCCCCAACACAAAGUUACUUCACUGCAACAAACAAGGUGCAAGACCAAGAAUCCUGAAGAAAGUCUCAUCAGAAGAAAUGCAGAAGACAGUGGAAGCAACUUUGUGAUGGACCUGCGUUUGCCUUUGUGAGAAGCAAGCCAAGUCCCAGGAAGGCACGUGGGGACCACUGAGUUACUGUCAAACAUUUACGCACAAACGUGGUCACACCCUGGAGCUGACUUGGAAUUCACACUCCAGAAGCUAAGGGUUUUGAUUCUAAACACCGUGACAGUUACCCUGUCACUACUGAAAAGUCAGUACAAUUAUACUAAAUAUACAUAUAGUCCUUUUCAUAUUCUCUGUACUUUAAUAAUAACUGAUGUCUUUUAAGGA
Falco peregrinus (peregrine falcon) is the source of this 1297-nucleotide long non-coding RNA. RefSeq lists it as uncharacterized. The transcript has 2 exons. The record is from RefSeq and is a predicted model, not a curated record. Lineage: Eukaryota; Metazoa; Chordata; Aves; Falconiformes; Falconidae.